GCGCUCGUAGCUCAGCCUGGAUAGAGCGACUGCCUUCUAAGCAGUAGGUCGGGGGUUCGAAUCCUCCCGGGCGCG
This 75-nucleotide transfer RNA is filed under the name Candidatus Woesearchaeota archaeon CG10_big_fil_rev_8_21_14_0_10_30_7. Its description in RNAcentral is "tRNA-Arg". It matches the Rfam family "tRNA". Rfam says of the family: Transfer RNA (tRNA) molecules are approximately 80 nucleotides in length. The record is from RNAcentral. Lineage: Archaea; Nanobdellati; Candidatus Woesearchaeota.